This 145-nucleotide ribosomal RNA is filed under the name uncultured eukaryote. Its description in RNAcentral is "partial 18S ribosomal RNA". It matches the Rfam family "Eukaryotic small subunit ribosomal RNA", at positions 1299 to 1458 of the family's 1831-position model. The record is from RNAcentral.
UGGUGGAGUGAUUUGUCUGGUUAAUUCCGUUAACGAACGAGACCUCGACCUAUUAAAUAGUUUGUAUAACACUUCGGUCUUAUAUUUGCAAACUUCUUAAAGGGACUGCUGCCGUUCUAGGCAGAGGAAGUACGAGGCAAUAACA